This 425-nucleotide ribosomal RNA is filed under the name uncultured bacterium. RNAcentral describes it as "partial 16S ribosomal RNA". It matches the Rfam family "Bacterial small subunit ribosomal RNA", at positions 354 to 796 of the family's 1533-position model. The record is from RNAcentral.
GUGGGGAAUCUUGCGCAAUGGGCGAAAGCCUGACGCAGCCAUGCCGCGUGAAUGAUGAAGGUCUUAGGAUUGUAAAAUUCUUUCACCGGGGACGAUAAUGACGGUACCCGGAGAAGAAGCUCCGGCUAACUUCGUGCCAGCAGCCGCGGUAAUACGAAGGGGGCUAGCGUUGCUCGGAAUUACUGGGCGUAAAGGGCGCGUAGGCGGACAGUUUAGUCAGAGGUGAAAGCCCAGGGCUCAACCUUGGAAUUGCCUUUGAUACUGGCUGUCUUGAGUUUGGGAGAGGUGAGUGGAACUCCGAGUGUAGAGGUGAAAUUCGUAGAUAUUCGGAAGAACACCAGUGGCGAAGGCGACUCACUGGCCCAAUACUGACGCUGAGGCGCGAAAGCGUUGGGAGCAAACAGGAUUAGAUACCCUAGUAGUCC